UAUACUGUAUUUAUAGGUGUGUAAUUCCCGUCAACUAGACAAUACUGUGGAUAUAUUUUUACAACAAGAGCGACAAUAGUUGUAAAUAAUAAAAAAUUGAGGCUGACAAAAGUAUCACGGUUCCACGUAACAAAGAUAUACAUCAUACCCCAAACAUUUUGGAUAAAUAUUUGGUGAAAUCUCAUCGUGUUAUUAUGUUGGAUUGCGAUUAGGUUGGAUUUUAUUUCCCCAAAAGGAAGAAGAAGAAGAAAAAAGACUGAAGGGUCUACGAAAUGAACGCAAACAUCUCAGAUAGUUUUUAAUGAUCCGGUAUUUAUUGACUUUUAUAUUCAUUUAUUUAUUUACAUUUUCUGUCUGCUUAUAAUUGGCCACUGUAAGACCUCACGUUAAACAGCUGUAAAUAUUAAGUUUGCUUUUGAGAAAGCACAUCCGUCGGUUUGUUUUGUUCGUAAAUUUGAGGGUGGGAAAAAACAUAAUAAUUAUAAUCAUGGUGCUGGAUUAUUUUCAAAUUAUGGAUGAUGUUUUCACAUUAAAUUAUUCUCGCUCUUGCCCAUCUCACAGCAAGUCGCAAUAUUUGUUUCCUGCACCAGUUCUCCGCAGAGUAUUACAGUUCACCGCUAGAUGUCGCCACGUGUUACAAAAUGCUUCAGGAAAUAUCACAUUUCAAGUCUCACGUUGAGUGAAUUUCCAGGGAAUUCAUAGCUGAGGCAAUACUUCGAAACCGCUCGAAAUGUCACACAGAAUAUACUUUUUAAGAAAAUUUGUAUCUUACACGUUUAAAGAUAUCAGGAUUUAAUCAGUUAGGUUUCAUGUCGUAAUACACACAAAAUAAAAAGAUAAGAUAGCCUCGUAAAUUGUAUAGCCUAUUUGUAAAACAAAAAAAAUCACUGUCAUUCCUAAAUUUAACAAAUCUUUAUGAAUAUUUUUGUGUAUGCACUGCACGUUCACCAGAGCUAAACAAUUUGAAUUAAAACAUCUAUCUAUCUAUCUUUCUAUCUAUCUAUCUAUAUAUCUAUCUAUCUAUCUAUCUAUCUAUCUAUCUAUCUAUCUAUCUAUCUAUCUGUCUUUCUGUCUAUCUGUCUAUCUGUCUAUCUAUCUUUCUGUCUAUCUGUCUAUCUGUCUGUCUAUCUAUCUAUCUAUCUAUCUAUCUAUCUAUCUAUCUAUCUAUCUAUCUAUCACACUUUUAACAACACUGAAGAACAGGCUUCUCCAUAUAUUUUAUCAUUGUAUUUAUCGCAGUGAUAUUUCUGAUUAUAAGAAAUACAUUACAUGUAUCAUUUUCAUCUUGGAACGAGCGUUGUCAUGAUUGUAGGUUUAGAGCAAAACAAUGGGUAUAAAUACUGGUCACAAUAAAUAAAAUGCUGUAGGACGUUUUAUCCAACGAAAGCUAGUCGUUUUAAGACUGAGUGAAUACAAACAUCGUACAAAAGCUCACGAGACGUCUGUCAUCCGUUGGGCUUAUUGACAGUCUUAAAGUAAUUAUCAUUCUUUCAAGUAGGCUGAGGGUUUAUCAUGAAUGCUUGAAAAUCUGUUCAAAAAUACCAAAAUAGCCGAUAUAGUGAUUUAGGCCUAACUUAAGUUUAACCUUCUAAGUCUUCAAGACGCAUAAACGGCAAAAUAGUUUAAAUGCGUUGAAUCUAUUUAAUGUCAACAAUCGCGAAAAUAACAAUUUAUGUUUCAAUGUUUAAAUUUCGUUUAUAUAAAACUUUCGAUUAUACUAUUAUUCAAGUCAACAGGGUGAGACUUUGCCUCCGUUCACAGUUUAGUACAAAGCUGUGGGAAUGUUUGAAUGUCUAAAAAAGGUUUUAAAUAUGCAGACGUAUGAUAAUCGCGGUCCUGCUGAGUCUCUAACAGGCGCAGCCCAUCACACACACGCGUGCCGCAUAACUUCAGAGUUCGGACCGCAAGAAGUCGCCAAGAUGAGGACAUACAGAGUCCAUGUAAGUCCAAUUUCUCUCUUUAGAAAAAGAGAUAUUGCCAGCCAUUUGAAGUUGAAGGCGGACAACAUGCGAGCAUAGGACAGCACGUGUUUGACCCAUUGGGAGUAAAUCUUUACGCGUGCCCAUCUGACCACUUCUACUGGGUGCCUGAUCAGCUGAGCAAAAGGUUCACAAGAUGAAGAUCAGACGCUUUACGAGUAGGAGGGAGCGAUGCUGAUGUUUGCGCAAAAGAAAGUUGUGGAACAGAGUCGUUUUAUCCCAUGUGAGCGCAAUUAGCCUAUAUUAAUAGGAAAACGGAUAAAUAUUUUUUUCUUUUCUAAUGAGCCUAAUGGUGACUUUAGAGGGAUAAAGUAAGGAAAAUGUGACCAUAUCUCAUCCAAUGAAAGUGAGCAAGAGAGAAAUGACAUCAAUGUUAUCUACUGAUUAAACGACUCAUAAUCCAGCCAAUAAGGUGAUGCUCUAGUAGAGGUGCAUUACUCUCUGCAGUGGGGAAGAAAGGUUACGAGAGCUCUCCAACACAAGCCACCCUCAAUAGUGUCAAACUCCUGAAGACAAGAAUUCAAGAAUUGAACAAGUGGACUAUUUUCUUCAGAUUUGCCUACCUGGAAAGAUGACCAUUGUGACCUCAUGUUGCACUAAGAUUUUCCAAGCCUGACAUCACAUUGAAAGCAACAUACAAAGUGACUUGAAUAACCCUUGAACUUUGUAUUGCAUGGAGUGUAUUAUAGUAUUUUAUGACAAAAUUUCUGUUGGAUACAACUUUUCUUGACGUGCUUGUACUCAAGAUUUUAUUCAUUCAAUAAAUUGUG
Molecule: long non-coding RNA, 2749 nt
Organism: Myxocyprinus asiaticus (Chinese sucker)
Lineage: Eukaryota; Metazoa; Chordata; Actinopteri; Cypriniformes; Catostomidae
Exons: 4
Source: RefSeq, a predicted model, not a curated record